This 71-nucleotide transfer RNA is filed under the name Marmota monax (woodchuck). RNAcentral's name for it is "tRNA.Ala". The stretch from base 9 to 64 matches the Rfam family "tRNA", at positions 9 to 63 of the family's 71-position model. From Rfam's summary of the family: Transfer RNA (tRNA) molecules are approximately 80 nucleotides in length. Their secondary structure includes four short double-helical elements and three loops (D, anti-codon, and T loops). Lineage: Eukaryota; Metazoa; Chordata; Mammalia; Rodentia; Sciuridae. The record is from RNAcentral.
GAACCUAGAGCUCAGUGGUAGAGUGCUCACCUAGCAUGUGAGAGGUCCUGGGCUCGACCCCCAGCACGUCA